This 392-nucleotide ribosomal RNA is filed under the name uncultured bacterium. RNAcentral's name for it is "bacterial SSU rRNA". It matches the Rfam family "Bacterial small subunit ribosomal RNA", at positions 28 to 420 of the family's 1533-position model. The record is from RNAcentral.
GACGAACGCUGGCGGCGUGCUUAACACAUGCAAGUCGAGCGGUAAGGCCCUUUCGGGGGUACACGAGCGGCGAACGGGUGAGUAACACGUGGGUGACCUGCCUCUAGCUCUGGGGAUAAGCCCGGGAAACUGGGUCUAAUACUGGAUAUGACUCCAUGACGCAUGUUGUGGGGUGGAAAGCCUUGUGCGGCUAGAGAUGGGCCCGCGGCCUAUCAGCUUGUUGGUGGGNGAUGGCCUACCAAGGCGACGACGGGUAGCCGGCCUGAGAGGGCGACCGGCCACACUGGGACUGAGACACGGCCCAGGACUCCUACGGGAGGCAGCAGUGGGGAAUCUUGCGCAAUGGGCGAAAGCCUGACGCAGCGACGCCGCGUGAGGGAUGACGGCCUGGU